Molecule: long non-coding RNA, 743 nt
Organism: Malaclemys terrapin pileata
Lineage: Eukaryota; Metazoa; Chordata; Testudines; Emydidae
Exons: 2
Source: RefSeq, a predicted model, not a curated record
UAGCGAGUCUUUGACUGGAGUAGGCAGGGAGAGAGUCUUGUUUAAAGAAUGCAUAUUCGGUUUGUAAACCGUUGCCAGCCACGCUUGGAAGCACCUCAUGUGUAGGCGUGCAUUCUGGACGACAAAAGUGCAUGAGGCCAUGUGACCUAGUAGUUGCAGGCAGUCUCGGGCAGUUACCUGAGGGCUGUUGCGAAUAGUUGUGGUCAGUUGUUUUAUGGAAUUGUAGCGAUCGGGUGGGAGCGAUGCUAGCCCGGUCCGAGAGUCGAGGUCUGCGCCUAUGAACUGAAGGUGCUGGGUGGGGCGUAAUGUGGAUUUGUCUCUGUUUAUUUGUAGGCCGAGAGAAAGAGAGCACUCGACUGUGAGUCGUGUGAACCGGAGCGCCUCGUCGAAUGUUGAAGCUUUGAGGAGGCAAUCGUCGAGGUGUCUGGAGACCUAAAGACCGGAGGGUUGUUCUGGAGUCUUUCAUUGAAUGAAGCACUUCAUUCGUGUUAGCAGCAAAGAGUUUGUCACCGUCGAAGGGAAGAUCUUCAAUUGUGUUCUGAACUUCGCGAGGAAAAAAGGAAGAGGAGAGCCAUGAGCCCCGUCGCAUGACUAUCGCUGUAGCGGUAGAUCUUGCCGCUGUGUUGGCUACAUCGAGGGCUGCUUGGAGAGCGGUGCGUGAAAUGGCUUGGCCCUCAGAAACUAUAGCUCUGAACUGUUGUUUUCUUUGUUCUGGAAUGUCAUCAAUAAAGUCCAUUAACUUA